Molecule: transfer RNA, 83 nt
Filed under: zebrafish metagenome
Rfam family: tRNA
About the family: Transfer RNA (tRNA) molecules are approximately 80 nucleotides in length. Their secondary structure includes four short double-helical elements and three loops (D, anti-codon, and T loops).
Source: RNAcentral
GAGAGGUGGCCGAGUGGUCGAAGGCGCCGCACUGGAAAUGCGGUGUAUCGCAAGGUACCGCGGGUUCGAAUCCCGCCCUCUCC